GUUUGGUUUUAAGUAUCUGUACCAAGAAUUUAUGUUCUUCCCUUUUAGGCUUAAUAAGAGAAGCCUCUUGUUGCUGUCUUGUCAAUAGAUUUAAUGUUCUGGGGAGAUGGAACAUUUUGAAGACUUGAAUACCAGUUUUAUAGAAAUGCAAACCUGGAAUGUUUGAGGAUGCACGGGGCAGGUGAUGCAAACAGCUGUUGAUCACAGCCUGAACUGCUGAUUGACCACCUUGAGGCGAGCACUGAGUCAGCCCUGGGAGCACAGGUGAAGGCAAUUCCUAGACCCCAUUUAAGGGCUGGCUGCCACUAGGGAAGGGUCUUUGUCUGAAGAUUGGUUCUUGUGGAGUUUUGCUGUGAGCUUUCAACAACGGGCAAUUGUGGAGCCCAGUCAGACACAUCUGCAGGCACUGUCUGCUAUCAGCCUUUUGCAGGAGACUCUCCAGUAUCGCUGCCAUUUCAAAAGCGCCUCAGUCUGGUCCAGCACUGGAAAACUGCCCUUCUCUAUACGUGGCU
This is a non-coding RNA of Coturnix japonica (Japanese quail), 512 nucleotides long. The record is from RefSeq and is a predicted model, not a curated record. NCBI's taxonomy places the organism in Eukaryota, Metazoa, Chordata, Aves, Galliformes, Phasianidae.